RNAcentral lists this ribosomal RNA (253 nucleotides) under uncultured bacterium. Its description in RNAcentral is "partial 16S ribosomal RNA". It matches the Rfam family "Bacterial small subunit ribosomal RNA", at positions 524 to 776 of the family's 1533-position model. The record is from RNAcentral.
UACGGGGGGGGCAAGCGUUGUUCGGAAUUACUGGGCGUAAAGGGCUCGUAGGCGGCCAACUAAGUCAUACGUGAAAUCCCUCGGCUUAACCGGGGAACUGCGUCUGAUACUGGAUGGCUUGAGAUUGGGAGAGGGAUGCGGAAUUCCAGGUGUAGCAGUGAAAUGCGUAGAGAUGCGGAGGAACACCGAUGGCGAAGGCGCCACUCUGGGCCGAAACUGACGCUGAGGAGCGAAAGCGUGGGUAGCAAACAGG